UUUUCAAGUCUGCCCCACCCACAUGUUCGCACUCACACAUUGGCCAAACACAGUGUCUUUUAAAUUAAUAUUUCCUGAAUUGCUUACAUUCUCUCCCCUUGCCUCCUUUUCAAAACCUAUUGGAGAAGAGGGUCCGAGGAGAGUGACCCUGGACCUUCUACAAUACGAUUGAGAAGUAGGCAAGGAUGUGGGAUGCAAGAACAUUUUUGUCAAUUCUUAUAAAAAAGGAACUUCUAAGUGUAUAUGCAAUGUGAUACAUUGUUUUUCACACUUUCAAACACUACAUUUAUAUUUUCCAACAGGACUAUACAUUUGGACCCCCAAUACAAGAUUUUGAGGAAGUGGUUGGAAUCUGGUGGUGGGAUGCCAAGGAGAAGAACCCAAAGACCCAAGAAGACUUGUACUCCUACGCCCUAGUCCUCCACCAACAACUGAGGAACUUGUGCAAUCACAAGUGAGAAGAGGCCUAGCGUUGGGUGAACUUCUGAGACGAUGCAGGAGCUCCAGAAACCUCCUCCAGCUCAGCGACCUUGUGAGAAACCCAGGCCUGAAUCACUUCAUUGAAUAUAUCUACUGAUUCCUGGACGGCAGUAUAGAGUGGUCUAAGGCACUGAAUCGCAGUGCUAGCUGUGCAACUAGAGAUUCUGAGUCCAGGCUCUGUCGCAGCCGGCCACGACCGGGAGACUCAUGGUGCGGAGCACAAUUGUCCCGGCAUCGUUAGGGAGGUGUGGCUGGCAGGGAUGUCCUUGUCCCAUCGUGCACUAGCGACUCCUGUGACGGGCCGGGUGCAGUGGACGCUGACACGGUCGCCAGGU
This is a long non-coding RNA of Oncorhynchus gorbuscha (pink salmon), 815 nucleotides long. RefSeq lists it as uncharacterized. NCBI's taxonomy places the organism in Eukaryota, Metazoa, Chordata, Actinopteri, Salmoniformes, Salmonidae. The transcript has 4 exons. The record is from RefSeq and is a predicted model, not a curated record.